UUUCCUGUAAAUAUCAAUAUUUAAAGUAAUCUUUCCUGUAAAUAUCAGUACUGUGUAAUCUUUCCUGUAAAUAUCAAUAUUUAAAGUAAUCUUUCCUGUAAAUAUCAGUACUGUGUAAUCUUUCCUGUAAAUAUCAAUAUUUACCAGUGAACUUUGCUCUUAACAAUUUGAACAUUCCACAGGUAGGACAAAAAAUUCUAAGUAUGAUCUUUACCGUAUCGUUUACUUGGUGGAAUAUGUGAAAUAUCUAUGAACAAAAGCUGGGAGAACAAUUUAGUAAUUAUGAGUCUUCACAUUACCCUGGAGGAUGCAUAUGCUUUGUAACUCAUCUGAAUAAUUCACUCUACAAUCAGAGUGAUGGCUUCAUAUGGGUCUUCUCUUCUAGCUAUCUUCAUUCUCUUAUUCCAGUGCACUUGAUUCAAUUAAGAGUAACACUAGGUCUUUCUUGUAUAACACCAUUGUUGAUAGUUCCGAUGGAAGCAGAAGUGCUGCAUCUUGAUAUCAGUUUCUGCUUACACACUAUUUGCUUAUUCUUCUAUCACAUAAUUUAGGGCCAUUGGUCUCUACUUUCAACCAAAUUUUAUCAUCAAUAAUAUCUUCAAUUUUAUUGCUGGCCAGCACACCAGGUGCCUUUCAUAUAUUAUGCAAUCAAUUGGAUGAGGGAAGAGGGAAUCUGGCUCCUCAACUUACUUCUAUACAUUCCUCUGCCAUCAGUAUGAGACCCAUUUAACUGCCACAUUUGAAAUGGUGGGUUGACUUUCCAAUGUCUAGGAAUAUCCUCUGAUUUGUGUAAAACUGUUUUUGACUAAUUGUCAACACUACUGGUUCACAUCUUUGUUGGUGGGGAUUGACAUAUCAGAGGUUCCUGAGUGAAUGUCUGUAGGGAAUGUGAUCCCUUUCUGGGCAUUCUCAACAUUUUCUGUCCAUCAUAGCUGCUUGAUGUUUGCAACAGAGGCAGCUGGACUAUGAAUAGCCCUAUAGCUAACAAAUGCAGCUAGAUCUGAGGUUAUCAACAUCUCUGCUUGUGUAUCAAUGUUGUAUACCAUGCAGAAGAUACUCUUCCUGUUGUUGUUAUUACAGAUUUCAUCUUUGAUCUCCGAGGCAAGUCACUCCUUAGCCUUUAUUUGGAUGCCUUGGCUUGUGGAGAUUCCAAUAAAUGAAGACACUGACCCCCAAUCAUGAUACCUAACUCUAGAUGGUUCUGUGUGUUAGACAUGCAUGAUGCCACUAGCUAUAUUUCUCGUUAAAGAACAAUACUGUUUUCUCUGCUGCUGGCAGGUUAUUGCUACAGAUGCUUGACUUACCCACAUAUGAUGCUUCCAGUGCUGGCCAACAGAUCAUUAUUCAUCCUAAGAGCUGGAACUGAUAUGCCUACAUACCAACACAACUCCACUGAACAUCUUAUUUCUGCACUCAUGAAAGCUAGCCCAGUUGCCAGAGUGUCCACACUGUGGGAAAUCAGAGACAGCUUUCCAUUUCUGGGUAGACUGCCCAGAAUAUCUCAAUACACAGACAACUCUUGGUGUAGAUCUGAACAUCAUUAUUUCUCAUACCAAAGUCUCGAUCAUUUAUAUUGACUGGUGGACAUAAUAGCUUGCAUAUCAUGACUAGAAAAAUACAUCUGGCCUACCCACUGCUUUAACUAGUCUACACAGUACAUUUAUCAAUGGAGGAAAAAGCUCUUGUUAAACCCUCUAUAUAUUAAUAGUGAAGAAAAAGAACAAAUUUUAUGAGAAUACUUAAAUUCAUCAAAUUUAAAACUAUAUGAUAUUAUUACUU
RNAcentral lists this long non-coding RNA (1779 nucleotides) under Androctonus crassicauda. The record is from RNAcentral. Lineage: Eukaryota; Metazoa; Arthropoda; Arachnida; Scorpiones; Buthidae.